CCUACGGGAGGCAGCAGUGAGGAAUAUUGCGCAAUGGGCGAAAGCCUGACGCAGCGACACCGCGUGAAGGAUGAAGGCUUUAGGGUCGUAAACUUCUGUUAAGGAAAUGGCGGUACCACUAGAGAAAGCACCGGCUAACUUCGUGCCAGCAGCCGCGGUAAGACGAGGGGUGCAAACGUUAUUCGGAAUGAUUGGGCGUAAAGGGUGCGUAGGCGGCUUAUUAAGUCAACUGUUAAAUUUCUCAGCCUAACUGAGAGUGUGCGGUAGAAACUGAUAGGCUAGAGGGUGGAAGAGAGAAGUGGAAUUCUCGGAGUAGCGGUAAAAUGCGUAGAUCUCGAGAGGAACACCGAUGGCGAAGGCAGCUUCUUGGUCCAUUCUGACGCUGAGGCACGAAAGCGUGGGGAGCAAACAGGAUUAGAUACCCUUGUAGUC
Molecule: ribosomal RNA, 432 nt
Filed under: uncultured bacterium
Lineage: Bacteria
Description: partial 16S ribosomal RNA
Rfam family: Bacterial small subunit ribosomal RNA
Source: RNAcentral